Molecule: long non-coding RNA, 2649 nt
Filed under: Sus scrofa (pig)
Lineage: Eukaryota; Metazoa; Chordata; Mammalia; Artiodactyla; Suidae
Description: lncRNA (ENSSSCG00035022756.1)
Source: RNAcentral
UUUUUUUUUUUUUUUUUUUGUCAUUUCUUGGGCUGCUCUCAUGGCAUAUGGAGGUUCCCAGGCUAGGGGUCAAAUCGGAGCUACAGCUGCCGGCCUACGCCACAGCCACAGCAAUGCCAGAUCCGAGCCUUGUCUGCUCCUUACACCACAGCUCAUGGCAACAGAGGCCAGGGAUUGAACGCACAUCCUAAUGGAUCCUAGUUGGAUUCAUUUCUGCUGUGCCACGAUGGGAACUCCCCUUCCUUUGUAUUUUAAAGAACAGUGUCUAAAGUAGGUCCCAUCCUUUUGUUAUUCUCAACCACAGUUCCAACGGUUGAGUGUCUCCUGGGAUAUGCAUGCUCUGUUCCAUUUCUUUCUUUUUUUAAACAGACCCAGAGUCCCAGAAGAAGUUAGAUGUUGUGCUUACAAACUGCAUACACAUGGGCAUCAUGGAAGUGCAAAACUCCAAUAAAGAAAUAAGCACAUGGUUUCUUAGUUCAUUUUUUAUGUUAAUGAUGAAAGUGCAGGUAAGAAAAUAAGAACUAGCCUUAAGGACAUAUAAGUGAUGGAAAGAGAAGGAAAAUUCUAGGUGGAGCCCAGAGAAGUUAUCAUUCUCUUCCUAUCAACAUUGGGUGGAUGUGCAGGCCCCUUGCUUUAUAGCAGCAGAACAAAAUAAAAUGACUGAUGAUCAAAGAAACUCACAGAUGCCUACAGAAUUAAAUUAUCAACCCACUUUGACAUUUUGCAAGUAUAAAUAGAAACAGAAAUAACUAGAGGUGUAGAAAUAGUUGAAGAAGCCCCUCAACAUUAAAUUCUAAACUUCAAAUUUGAAACACCUAGAGAUUGGGGUUUCUCUGUAAUCUAUAAAUCAGCCUUGAUUCAAAGAAAUAGCCAGGCUGGCAUGGGGGAGCAACUUUAGAUCUGGCCAGCACAGGACCUGGGGAGGCUCAGUAGAGACCCACUAUCUGUUAAUAAGGAAGAAGACCCAAAACAGAGCCAGGACAAAUAAUUCUGUCAUUUUAAUGUCAAAAGUGUCCAACCAUUCUUUAUUGUGAAAAGGAUACAUAAUUAAGCUGUAUCUUUAUAUUAUUAUUUUUUUUUUACUAUUUGGCAUAUUAUUCAUUCCCAGUGAUGUUUCAUUUCUCCUCAAAUGAUUCUUUUGCAACCUUUAGAAAGCCCUGCAAUUUCCUUUUCAUUUGGCCGAACGUGGCAGACACAGGAGGGAGAGCUUCUAAAUCCUGUUGCUCAGAAUAUGGCUUUUUUUUUUUUUUUUUUUUNNNNNNNNNNNNNNNNNNNNNNNNNNNNNNNNNNNNNNNNNNNNNNNNNNNNNNNNNNNNNNNNNNNNNNNNNNNNNCAGCCUACACCAGAGCCACAGCAACGCCAGAUCUGAGCCACGUCUGUGACCUAUAGCACAGCUCAUGGCAAUGCCUGAUCCUUAACCCACUGAGUAAGGCCAGGAAUCGAACUCAAAACCUCGUGGUUCCUCGUGGUUUCUGCUGCGCCACAACGGGAACUCCCAGAAUAUGUUUAAAAAAAAAAAAAAAAGCAGGACCCCAGACAGGUGUGUAACUGUUUGAAUGGGCUAUCUCUUAUACAACUAGGAAUAAGACCUACUUGGAAGAAGUUUUGCUCUAGAAACUGUUGAUGCUCUUGACUUAUUGAGGGGAGUUCCAUAAAAUGGCCAUUACCAACUGUAUAAGACAAAACUCGUGUUAGCUCAAAGGUUAGUCCCUGUUUUAAAAUCCCAAAAAAGAUAAACCCUAUUAUGGGCCAUUUCCACUUUCCCCACUGCUUCCCUGACAAGAGGUAAUGUGGGUCUGAGGAGGAAACUGAAGAUUCAUGGCCCAAAUAGAGCAGAAGUCUUGUCUUGUGUAACUGCCCAAAUGCUAAUACAAACUCAUUGUUGCUCAAUUUGUUCUUUAAAAGCUGUGCUUUAUUCUAUUAACUUUGAUUUGCCCUCUUAGCUUCUGUCAUUUUUCCAUACUGGACUGUCCUGGCAAUCCUCCUCACCUUUCUGUCUGGGUUUCAGUCUCUGACAGGGGCUCUGUGCCUAGGUCUCCCUGCCAGGAUCCAUCUGGCCCAUCGGUAACUAACAGUCAUCUUAGCCUUGUCCAGUGGUGAUAGCUUCACCCGUAGAUUUAACUGAGACAAAACUGAACAACUUACCAUAAAUAUCGGAGUCAAGAAAAAAUUAUUAGGAGACUAGGCGUACAUAAGUUUAGAUAAAAACAGAGAAGGCAGGACGACAGUGUGGUCCAAGUAAUUUUCUCUGUGCAAAGAUGCCUUCUAUUUAGUAUAACUAAACACAUUACUUCUGGGGAAAAAAAAAAACAACAACAAAAAUUCACACUCCAAAAAAGGGAGAAAAACUAGUAUUGAGAGCAAUUAUGAGUAUGACUUAAAAUGUCACUUUUUAUCUGUUGUACAGGAGAGUAAAUAUCAUGAAAACUUAACCAUGAUAAGGAAAAAAAAAACACUUAACCAUGAUGAAAUAUUUGUCAAACAGUAUUUGUUCCUAUAUUAAGAAAUUAAUACCCACAUGCACAACUUUGAGUUGAUAGAAACUAAAAACUUAAGGUAAUAGAAUUAAGGAUUUCAUUUUCCUUUUUAGAGUUUUAUAUAUUUUUCAAAUUUUUUGGAAAGGCGUUUUGGAAAUAGAAAAAAAAAAAA